Molecule: long non-coding RNA, 1982 nt
Organism: Astatotilapia calliptera (eastern happy)
Lineage: Eukaryota; Metazoa; Chordata; Actinopteri; Cichliformes; Cichlidae
Source: Ensembl
AUAGUCUACAUAUUGGUGUGAGAGAUGUAAACCCACCGAUACACUUAUCAGCAACUUUUUUUUUUAAAUAAAUAAAUAAAAAAUAGGAUAAAGCCUCUUGUCUUGCUCCCUGUCUCUGUAUUUUUGCACCGACUGUUUCUUUGGUUUUGAUAAAAAUCUAAACUACUACACCAAGUUGACACUUUAUUAGGUAUGCCUGCAGUAAAUGUUCAUUUUAUUACAUUUACUUUUCUAAUUUUGGGUUGCUUUUUACAGGUAUACUAUCUACAGUAUGACAGGAUCAUUAACAUGUACUGACGAUUCUUAUAUCUAAAAUAAGAGACGGCAAGUGACAUGAAACAAUGCAGAAAAUGGACUCUAAAAGAAGGAAAAAAAGAUGAAUCACUUCACAAAGUGGGGAGACCACUUGACUAGGCACCGUGUCUCUGCUGGAAGCUGGCUCUGAGCACUAAUAUUUUCUGUUUCGCAUUAAUCCCUGCUUGGCAGUCACCUUUGUGGGGCAAGCUUGUUUGUUAGCAUCUCCAAAAAAAAAAACCCCAAACACUGGCACUUCUUACAUCAGUACACUCCAAGGUUUGUACUGAGAGACAAGUGUAACAGUGGAGAAAAAAAAAGGAAAAAAGAAAAGAGACAGAGCGAGAGAGAGAGAGAGAGAGAGAGAGAGAGAGAGAGAGAGGCGGUAGGAGAGAGGCAGGGAAAAAUCAGAGCCAAGGAGACAGGAAAAAGACCUACAAUGAAAAAUAACUCCAAAACCAACACAUCGAGAGUCUUGGCAAUCACAACGGGGGUUUUGCAGGCAUCACAGACAACAGAUUCGCAAACAACACUCUGGUCUGGAUGGUGUCACCCCAUGAUUGAUUUCUCCAAGCCAACUGAUAAGUUUUCUGGGGUAGGCAAUCUGUGAAGAAACGAAUCAGUCGAGGUGAAAGAAAAACAAUGUUUGAACCUGAUGCAUGGCAGCCAAUACUCUGACGAGUAACAUUUGCUCAGGGGUCAGUCACCUUGGAAAGGCAAUCUGUGGGGAACAACAGUGCUGACUGUACUGUAAAGUAACUGCUCUUACCUCAGGGCUUUCUUUCUUUCUGUGUUUUUGUUUUGUCUUUUCUCCCAUAACUUGCCAAUGAUGUUGAUUUUCUUUGUUUUACUUGUAUUAUAAUGCUGUUGUUUGGAGUGUGGCCACCAUGGCAUAGAGCCUAAUUUCUACCGGCAAGUUCUUACUUGUUGGUUAAUUUUCUGACCAAGAAAUGUAUUGGCCAUGUAUUCCCUGGUUAGAACGAUCAUGUUUCGCAAACAAAAUGCUUAAUAUAUUCUUGUCUUUUUUUUUUAUCUUCUAAAUUGAAUUCCCAGUGGAUUCUGUGAGUCAGCCUGCUAAGUAUGACUUCACCACCAAAACCAAAUGCUUUGGCCUACUUUAUCUAGCUCUGCAUGUCCCCUGGUUAUUUCGCACACAGCUCUGACCAGUGAGAGUCCAACUGUUUCAGACUAUUUAUGGGGCAGAGUGGGCAGGUUUGUGGUCCAGUAAUCUAUCCCUGGCAAUAUUCAUCAUCACCUUUUAUAAAGCAGCCUAUGUCUGUCUACCAGAUGCCAAAUACAGGCAUUCACACCCCCACGCUCCAAUGGGAAGCAAAUUAGGACCAGACUAAUGGUGCAUGCAGGAACAAGAGGUAGUUUUAUUUCUUUAUUUAUCAUAGUAAAUCCAGUAGCCAUGAUGAGAAGGAAAGAAGCUACAAAUAGCAGAAGAGUACCACUCAGUUUCUUGGUUUUUUUGUUUGUUUGUUUUUUUAAACACAAGAGUCAGUCUGAGCUCCAGGCUGCAACAACAGUGACAGUCACACAUGAAGAGAUUUAAAUAUCACAGUCUUCAAACAUGGGAAAGCCAGACUGUCCCACAAACAAAUACCCACAAUUAGGAGAGAGGAAAUGUUGGCUGGGGAUGUAAGGUGCUCUUGAGUGCUUAAGGCUAGGCGAGUGGAGACAGGCAC